Molecule: non-coding RNA, 83 nt
Filed under: Haemophilus influenzae
Lineage: Bacteria; Pseudomonadati; Pseudomonadota; Gammaproteobacteria; Pasteurellales; Pasteurellaceae
Also listed under: 1 other name
Description: sRNA-Xcc1
Rfam family: sRNA-Xcc1
Source: RNAcentral
CCGAGUGGGCGGAGAAUACAACACCCGAAAGGGGAAUAAUCCCGGCCGACUUUUGGCGGUUUACGAACCACUCGGCGCCCUAU